RNAcentral lists this ribosomal RNA (468 nucleotides) under uncultured bacterium. RNAcentral's name for it is "partial 16S ribosomal RNA". It matches the Rfam family "Bacterial small subunit ribosomal RNA", at positions 28 to 507 of the family's 1533-position model. The record is from RNAcentral.
GACGAACGCUGGCGGCGUGCUUAACACAUGCAAGUCGAACGGAAAGGCCCUGCUUUUGUGGGGUGCUCGAGUGGCGAACGGGUGAGUAACACGUGAGUAACCUGCCCCUGACUUUGGGAUAACUUCAGGAAACUGGGGCUAAUACCGGAUAGGAGCUCCUGCUGCAUGGUGGGGGUUGGAAAGUUUCGGCGGUUGGGGAUGGACUCGCGGCUUAUCAGCUUGUUGGUGGGGUAGUGGCUUACCAAGGCUUUGACGGGUAGCCGGCCUGAGAGGGGGACCGGCCACAUUGGGACUGAGAGACGGCCCAGACUCCUACGGGAGGCAGCAGUGGGGAAUAUUGCACAAUGGGCGGAAGCCUGAUGCAGCAACGCCGCGUGCGGGAUGACGGCCUUCGGGUUGUAAACCGCUUUCGCCUGUGACGAAGCGUGAGUGACGGUAAUGGGUAAAGAAGCACCGGCUAACUACGUG